AUUACUCUACCAGGUUCGGAAGAGUUAUCAGACCUGUGCGCAGACUUAUUGAAUCCAUGGUUCAACUUGAGACCCUGUUAGGUUUGGAUUCUGGGUCAACAGUACUUCAUGUUUGAAUUAGCAGUUUUUGCAACUUGCUUUUGUUUCUCGAUUUUUCUAAGUAAAACUUGCCUUAAUUGAGCAUGUGGUCUAAGUGUACGAGGUGUAAUGGGCACCUUGAUGAAGUCUACAGAAUGUGCUGAAAUUUGGCCAAUUUCAAAACAUUUUUAUCCUUUGUUUGGGAAGCUUUUGAUUGCUGACUGUCUUCACUGAUUGUUUAGAGUGUGGACAAUGUAAUUCUUUGACCAGUGUACAGAUUUUUUUGUGUUUUUCUCAGAGUUUUGUGUAAUUCUAGGGGGGUGAGUGUAACGGGUAUGGAAAUUAAUGUUCAUUUCAUUUAUAGAAUUACACAAAAACUGUUCAAAAUGUAUACCUGAAUAUGUAUGUCUGUGUGUGCACUUUCCCCUUUAAAUUUCUGACGGAAGAAUUGAUUUUAAUUUCCUGUCUUUGCGCCUCCUCUUCCCUUUCUGCGCUGUCUGUGCAUGGGAGAGAAAAGACAAGGGCGAAAAACACACUGUAAAAGACUUGUGUUAUGUUUAACAGUAAAUGAAGAACCGUCAACUGAUGUCCG
Long non-coding RNA from Carassius auratus (goldfish), 670 nucleotides. RefSeq lists it as uncharacterized. The transcript has 3 exons. The record is from RefSeq and is a predicted model, not a curated record. Lineage: Eukaryota; Metazoa; Chordata; Actinopteri; Cypriniformes; Cyprinidae.